Molecule: ribosomal RNA, 254 nt
Filed under: uncultured bacterium
Lineage: Bacteria
Description: partial 16S ribosomal RNA
Rfam family: Bacterial small subunit ribosomal RNA
Source: RNAcentral
CACGUAGGGGGCAAGCGUUGUCCGGAUUUAUUGGGCGUAAAGAGCUCGUAGGCGGCUGAGUAAGUCGGGUGUCAAAUCUUCAGGCUCAACCUGGAGCCCCACCCGACUACUGCUCUGGCUAGAGUCCGGUAGGGGAGCGUGGAAUUCCUGGUGUAGCGGUGAAAUGCGCAGAUAUCAGGAGGAACACCAGCGGCGAAGGCGGCGCUCUGGGCCGGAACUGACGCUGAGGAGCGAAAGCGUGGGUAGCAAACAGG